RNAcentral lists this ribosomal RNA (560 nucleotides) under Halobacillus sp. 1-5. RNAcentral's name for it is "bacterial SSU rRNA". It matches the Rfam family "Bacterial small subunit ribosomal RNA", at positions 53 to 578 of the family's 1533-position model. The record is from RNAcentral. Lineage: Bacteria; Bacillati; Bacillota; Bacilli; Caryophanales; Bacillaceae. RNAcentral also lists the same sequence under 3 other names.
ACAUGCAAGUCGAGCGCGGGAAGCAAGCGGAUCCCCUUCGGGGGUGAAGCUUGUGGAACGAGCGGCGGACGGGUGAGUAACACGUGGGCAACCUGCCUGUAAGACUGGGAUAACCCCGGGAAACCGGGGCUAAUACCGGAUAAUACCGGACUCCACAUGGAGUCCAGUUGAAAGAUGGCUUCUCGCUAUCACUUACAGAUGGGCCCGCGGCGCAUUAGCUAGUUGGUGAGGUAACGGCUCACCAAGGCGACGAUGCGUAGCCGACCUGAGAGGGUGAUCGGCCACACUGGGACUGAGACACGGCCCAGACUCCUACGGGAGGCAGCAGUAGGGAAUCUUCCGCAAUGGACGAAAGUCUGACGGAGCAACGCCGCGUGAACGAUGAAGGUCUUCGGAUCGUAAAGUUCUGUUGUCAGGGAAGAACAAGUACCGUGCGAAUAGAGCGGUACCUUGACGGUACCUGACGAGGAAGCCCCGGCUAACUACGUGCCAGCAGCCGCGGUAAUACGUAGGGGGCAAGCGUUGUCCGGAAUUAUUGGGCGUAAAGCGCGCGCAGGCGG